CCUUAGAACUGUUACACAACAGCUACACACAAGAACACUAACAGGGGGUCUUUGUGUCCGUUUUCUCUCCUCUUGCCUGUUACACACUGUUCUGCAACUUUCCCUGAUUCCCCAGAGAUGUGAUCUUAUAGGCAAAGCUUCGAAAAACAAAAAAGAAACAAUAAAAAUGGUGCAAUAAGGUCCGCCCUGCAGCAGAGAUUCCUACAGGGCUGACAUAUUUGCAAUGACAUCAUAUUCUUUCCAUGUUUCAACACCUUUAAAACAAUGGGACUUACAGGACCGAAGCUGUAAAUGUGACCAUUGUUUCCCGAAGAUGAAUCCUGGAAAUAGAAGCGAGUUGCCCAGACUAAAAAUUAGGUAUAUAUAUCAGGAAACUUAAGGAUAUGAAAACAGAUGUUCAGUUGAUAGCAUCCUGGGGGGGGAAGGUAUCAGAACACCAAAAGGUCAGUAAAUACAGGAAUGCAUCUUCAUGUUAAAACAACAAGUUCAUGGGGUAUUGCUUUGAGUGAAUUAUUCAUGAAGAAGAGCAUAAUCUACUUUACCAGGGCAAUCAACAAGGACAGGUUUUACCUGACAAGGUGGGUCUCUAUAAUUGUAAGAAGGGUAAAUGAUCACGUCCUUGAUUAUUGAAACACCAAUUUCCUCUGUUAGUGAUAUACCUCAGAAUCACAGUGCAACAAUAUCCACUCUCUACUUCCUAAGCAACAAAAUGAACCUAUAGGUCCCAAUAGAAGUGAAUCAUACUCUUUCUAGGAACAGAGUUAUAGCUUCAUUGAAUUGACAGUGUAUAGCUUCUCUGCAUUGUUGUAUAUAGAAAACAGCAAUUUGCAAGUUCAAGUCUCUAUUUUUUAUUUAUUUAGUUAUUUUACAAAUUAGUACUAAUAUACAGUAUAUUGUUAUAUAUUCUGGAGUAUAACCUUAGUUAUCUACAGUCAUACCUCUUGAAUUUUUCACAUUUUUGUUUUUUGUAAAUUAUGGGACAUUUUAAUGUGAUAUACCAUCACCACAUAGCACGUAAUUGCAAAGUCUAAGAAUGUUCUUUGUGUUGUCUCUGUUUUGCCCUGUGAUGAACUGGUGACCUUUCCAGGUUGUACCUCACCUCUCGCCCAAUUAGCUUUCUUUAUAGACAGUGGAUCGAUGGCUUUUUCUUCCAUAUCAUAAUUAUGCAUUACUUUCAGUUAAUGCUAGUUAAAAACAAUGUUGUUGUACCUGUAAUGUGAGACAAUCUGAACAAUGUUUGAGGGGUAUGAAUAUAUUUACUUGACAUUAUAUCCAUUUUUUAUGUAAUGCAGCUCAAUUUGCUGAAUUACAUUAACUCAUUCAAGAAGUUUCUUUAAUAACAUUUUUGUAUUUGUAUGUUUUAUACGAUAAAAGCAUUUUGCAAACAGAGUGGCUUUCUGGGCAGAUUCCAAAGAAUUGAAUUUGUUAUUGUCAAGACACUGCCAGACUAUUUCUCUGGGGGUCAUCUUGAACAUGUCUGUUUUAAGACCUGACAACAUUCCUUCUGUGUUGUGUCACAUGGGUGGAGAGACCGCUGUUAUUAAGUUAUCGGUCGUUCUAUCUGCCCUUCAGUCGCCUCGAAUUGAUCACAGCUGCAGCCCUGCAAGAGGCACUGUUCGGUGCAUGUGUGUAAGAACGGAGGAUGCUUUCAGAAGAAAACAGAGUCUCGGUUUGCCACAUGAGAACACGUCUUCAGAAUAUGCUUUUGCUUUGAGCGUCUUGCAUGACAACCCAAAGGAAGAAUGAAUACCCAAGAUAAAAGGCCAGUAAUGGUGAGACUGUAAGCUGAUAGUUUCCAUGGAUGAUAAAUGAACUUAGGCUAAUCCAGGCAAAUGAAAAUGAGGAAUAAAACACAGGCUGUGAGGCAGUUGUGUACCUCUGUUCAUGCUCAGAAAAAGCAAUCUCAUUAGCCCUGACAUUAGCUGCUUCACCUUUACAUCAACAUUUAGACAGAAU
Xiphophorus couchianus (Monterrey platyfish) is the source of this 1956-nucleotide long non-coding RNA. RefSeq lists it as uncharacterized. The transcript has 2 exons. The record is from RefSeq and is a predicted model, not a curated record. NCBI's taxonomy places the organism in Eukaryota, Metazoa, Chordata, Actinopteri, Cyprinodontiformes, Poeciliidae.